This 254-nucleotide ribosomal RNA is filed under the name uncultured bacterium. RNAcentral's name for it is "partial 16S ribosomal RNA". It matches the Rfam family "Bacterial small subunit ribosomal RNA", at positions 524 to 776 of the family's 1533-position model. The record is from RNAcentral.
UACAGAGGGUGCAAGCGUUAAUCGGAAUUACUGGGCGUAAAGCGCGCGUAGGUGGUUCGUUAAGUUGGAUGUGAAAUCCCCGGGCUCAACCUGGGAACUGCAUUCAAACUGUCGAGCUAGAGUAUGGUAGAGGGUGGUGGAAUUUCCUGUGUAGCGGUGAAAUGCGUAGAUAUAGGAAGGAACACCAGUAGGCGAAGGCGACCACCUGGACUGAUACUGACACUGAGGUGCGAAAGCGUGGGGAGCGAAACAGG